AUCAGUAUGAGCUCAUAUAUCGUCUCUGCUGUAAUCAUGUUUCUCAGUGAGUCUCACUGGUGGUAAUUAAUGUGCAUUGCCUGCUGAGUAAGACAGUAAUAAUAGUGGAGAGCCAUUAUUGUAGCACACCCCCAUACUUCACAUAUGUUUGGAAGCAAAUUACUGACCCGGUCGAUACCCAGUGGGCACAGGCGUAGAUCAAUACCUGCUCUCCCAGGGAACAAUCUUCAGCUUUAAUGACAAUACAUUGAUUUUUAAAUAACUGCUCAUGUUUCAGAAACGCUAAUCACUCCACUUUCUCAGGGGACUGAGAGUCUGCCCUUUUCAUUUCUCUUUUUUCAUCUCUGCUUCUUUCUCCCUCUCUCUCUUAUAUCUGAGGAAGAAUUUGUAAGUGCCUUGAAUUAAAUUUUUUAGUAGUUUAGUUUUAUAGAUUUUUUUCAUAACUUUUGCACAAAAAGUUUCCCCAAACUGCAAACUUUGUGUAUUUUGAUCAUGGUAAAUGUAUUACUGUGAUAAACUAUUGCAAAAACAUAUUCUUUUACUACUCAAUGUUGUAUUUAGUCAUUUGUGCAUACUUAAAUGAACUACAAAGCCUUGUGAUACCCCAAACUUACAAUGGCAUGUAAAAAAAAAAAAUUUAUGACAUUGAAUCACUAUAUAAUGCAACUAAAUUAAAUAACAGUAAUCUUGAAAAUAAUGCACCAUGAAAAUUACAGUAUGAAUGCAAAGCAGUUGCUAAUACAAUUUUUUAAGCUUGUUUUAGAAAAAGGGUAAUUAUGACUUUUUAUUUCACAGUUUUGACUUUUUUCCACUCAUACAGUAGUUCUGAUUUUAUAUCCUGCUUUUCUGACCAUUUAAACUUCAGUUAACUUACAAUUUGGAGAGAUAAAUUUGCAAUUUUCAGAAGAAAAGUCAGAAGCUAACACUUCAGAGGUGUUAUUUCACUUUCUGGGCUGUUUUGAAUGUGCAGUAAAAAAUGUGGAUAUUGCCAAAGACACAUUCCAGAAAACAAGGAUGUCUGGUCACCCGACUCAAAGUUCAUGUGGACUGUAUUUGUCGUGAGCAUAAACUCUAUGCUAACACAUCACCCUGACCCAGGUCACAGCAGUAGCAUUGAGGCCAGCUGGCACAUCUUAACAGGGGACUGA
Molecule: long non-coding RNA, 1148 nt
Organism: Cyprinus carpio (common carp)
Lineage: Eukaryota; Metazoa; Chordata; Actinopteri; Cypriniformes; Cyprinidae
Source: Ensembl